RNAcentral lists this long non-coding RNA (538 nucleotides) under Mytilus galloprovincialis (Mediterranean mussel). The record is from RNAcentral. Lineage: Eukaryota; Metazoa; Mollusca; Bivalvia; Mytilida; Mytilidae.
CAUCUUUCCAAUUUAAAUAUAAACAUUGGGAAAUAGAGUUUACGAGAUUGAAAUAAAAAAAAAAUCAUUUGAUACACAAAAAAGAAAUAUAAAGACCACUAUUUUAUUAUAUUCUCAUAUAACCUCCGCCUUGUUUUGCUGGACGUCCAAUAAAACAUCCACCUAUCCAGAUUGUCACGGAACCAGUCACAACAAGUCCAAUCAAUACUCCUUCCAUGUCUUUGCAAUGCAUAGAGAUAAAAUAACAUGACAAAAUCGUACAUACUAUUCCAAUUAUUGUCCAAAUUACGGAACAAAGCACUUUUAAACAAACUCCCAUUCCUGAACAUACACUUAUUCCUGAAAACAGCAUUGUAAAUGCAGACACUAUAGUAAGAGCAAUUAUUAUCCUUUGUUCGCUAUCGUACUUGCAAUGACUCCCUUGUGUAAGCUCUGCAGCAAGAACGAACAUUAUUCCAGUGAGUGUCCAGAAUAUGGAGCAUGACCACUUGAAACAGUCUGUCGCACACAUAAUCACAUUAAACUUAGCCAUUUUUGU